This 429-nucleotide ribosomal RNA is filed under the name Chloroflexota bacterium. Its description in RNAcentral is "Chloroflexi bacterium partial 16S ribosomal RNA". It matches the Rfam family "Bacterial small subunit ribosomal RNA", at positions 355 to 776 of the family's 1533-position model. The record is from RNAcentral. Lineage: Bacteria; Bacillati; Chloroflexota.
UGGGGAAUAUUGCACAAUGGGCGCAAGCCUGAUGCAGCCAUGCCGCGUGUAUGAAGAAGGCCUUCGGGUUGUAAAGCACUUUCAGCGGGGAGGAAGGCGAUAAGGUUAAUAACCUUGUCGAUUGACGUUACCCGCAGAAGAAGCACCGGCUAACUCCGUGCCAGCAGCCGCGGUAAUACGGAGGGUGCAAGCGUUAAUCGGAAUUACUGGGCGUAAAGCGCACGCAGGCGGUCUGUCAAGUCGGAUGUGAAAUCCCCGGGCUCAACCUGGGAACUGCAUUCGAAACUGGCAGGCUAGAGUCUUGUAGAGGGGGGUAGAAUUCCAGGUGUAGCGAUGAAAUGCGUAGAGAUCUGGAGGAAUACCGGUGGCGAAGGCGGCCCCCUGGACAAAGACUGACGCUCAGGUGCGAAAGCGUGGGGAGCAAACAGG